Molecule: ribosomal RNA, 356 nt
Filed under: uncultured Actinomycetes bacterium
Lineage: Bacteria; Bacillati; Actinomycetota; Actinomycetes
Description: bacterial SSU rRNA
Rfam family: Bacterial small subunit ribosomal RNA
Source: RNAcentral
AGGGGGUUUGAAUCAUGGCUCAGGACGAACGCUGGCGGCGUGCUUAACACAUGCAAGUCGAACGGUGAAGGAGGAGCUUGCUCCUCCGGAUCAGUGGCGAACGGGUGAGUAACACGUGAGCAAUCUGCCCCUGACUCUGGGAUAACCUCGGGAAACCGAAGCUAAUACCGGAUACGAAGCGCGAAGGCAUCUUCAGCGCUUGGAAAGAAUUUCGGUCAGGGAUGAGCUCGCGGCCUAUCAGUUAGUUGGUGAGGUAACGGCUCACCAAGACGACGACGGGUAGCCGGCCUGAGAGGGUGACCGGCCACACUGGGACUGAGACACGGCCCAGACUCCUACGGGAGGCAGCAGUGGGG